AGUGAACGCUGGCGGUAGGCCUAACACAUGCAAGUCGAACGGCAGCACAGUAAGAGCUUGCUCUUACGGGUGGCGAGUGGCGGACGGGUGAGGAAUACAUCGGGAUCUACUUUUUCGUGGGGGAUAACGUAGGGAAACUUACGCUAAUACCGCAUACGACCUACGGGUGAAAGCAGGGGAUCUUCGGACCUUGCGCGAUUGAAUGAGCCGAUGUCGGAUUAGCUAGUUGGCGGGGUAAAGGCCCACCAAGGCGACGAUCCGUAGCUGGUCUGAGAGGAUGAUCAGCCACACUGGGACUGAGACACGGUCCAGACUCCUACGGGAGGCAGCAGUGGGGAAUAUUGGACAAUGGGCGCAAGCCUGAUCCAGCCAUACCGCGUGGGUGAAGAAGGCCUUCGGGUUGUAAAGCCCUUUUGUUGGGAAAGAAAAGCAGCAGGUUAAUACCCCGCUGUUCUGACGGUACCCAAAGAAUAAGCACCGGCUAACUUCGUG
Molecule: ribosomal RNA, 492 nt
Filed under: uncultured bacterium
Lineage: Bacteria
Description: partial 16S ribosomal RNA
Rfam family: Bacterial small subunit ribosomal RNA
Source: RNAcentral